This 460-nucleotide ribosomal RNA is filed under the name uncultured bacterium. Its description in RNAcentral is "partial 16S ribosomal RNA". It matches the Rfam family "Bacterial small subunit ribosomal RNA", at positions 338 to 795 of the family's 1533-position model. The record is from RNAcentral.
CCUACGGGGCGCAGCAGUGAGGAAUAUUGGUCAAUGGACGCAAGUCUGAACCAGCCAAGCCGCGUGAAGGAUGACGGCUCUAUGAGUUGUAAACUGCUUUUGUACGAGGGUAAACCCCGAUACGUGUAUCGGGUUGAAAGUAUCGUACGAAUAAGGAUCGGCUAACUCCGUGCCAGCAGCCGCGGUAAUACGGAGGAUCCGAGCGUUAUCCGGAUUUAGUGGGUUUAAAGGGUGCGUAGGCGGUUUGAUAAGUUAGUUGUGAAAUGUCGGGGCUCAACCCCGAAACUGCCUCUAAUACUGUCGGACUAGAGAAUAGUUGCGGUAGGCGGAAUGUAUGGUGUAGCGGUGAAAUGCUUAGAGAUCAUACAGAACACCGAUUGCGAAGGCAGCUUACCAAACUAUAACUGACGUUGAGGCACGAAAGUGUGGGUAGCAAACAGGAUUAGAUACCCCGGUAGUC